AGCGAACGCUGGCGGCAGGCCUAACACAUGCAAGUCGAACGGACCCUUCGGGGUUAGUGGCGGACGGGUGAGUAACACGUGGGAACGUGCCUUUAGGUUCGGAAUAGCUCCUGGAAACGGGUGGUAAUGCCGAAUGUGCCCUUCGGGGGAAAGAUUUAUCGCCUUUAGAGCGGCCCGCGUCUGAUUAGCUAGUUGGUGAGGUAACGGCUCACCAAGGCGACGAUCAGUAGCUGGUCUGAGAGGAUGACCAGCCACACUGGGACUGAGACACGGCCCAGACUCCUACGGGAGGCAGCAGUGGGGAAUCUUGCGCAAUGGGCGAAAGUCUGACGCAGCCAUGCCGCGUGAAUGAUGAAGGUCUUAGGAUUGUAAAAUUCUUUCACCGGGGACGAUAAUGACGGUACCCGGAGAAGAAGCCCCGGCUAACUUCGUG
Molecule: ribosomal RNA, 433 nt
Filed under: uncultured bacterium
Lineage: Bacteria
Description: partial 16S ribosomal RNA
Rfam family: Bacterial small subunit ribosomal RNA
Source: RNAcentral